AACCUACGGGAGGCAGCAGUGGGGGAUACUGCACAAUGGGGGAAACCCUGAUGCAGCGACGCCGCGUGAGUGAAGAAGCAUUUCGGUACGUAAAGCUCUAUCAGCAGGGAAGAAUAAUGACGGUACCUGACUAAGAAGCCCCGGCUAACUACGUGCCAGCAGCCGCGGUAAUACGUAGGGGGCAAGCGUUAUCCGGAUUUACUGGGUGUAAAGGGAGCGUAGACGGCACUGCAAGUCCGGAGUGAAAGCCCACAGCCCAACUGUGGGACUGCUCUGGAAACUGUGGCGCGCGAGUGCGGGAGGGG
This 305-nucleotide ribosomal RNA is filed under the name uncultured bacterium. RNAcentral's name for it is "bacterial SSU rRNA". It matches the Rfam family "Bacterial small subunit ribosomal RNA", at positions 335 to 657 of the family's 1533-position model. The record is from RNAcentral.